CCUCCCUUUCCUCCUCACGUCAUCCUCCUGCACCUCACACACACCUACACCUACACACGCACACACACUCAUACACUCACCCACCCUUCCUCUUCCUUCCCAUAACACGCACUUACCCAGACACCUACACACACACACGCACACGCACACACAUGCAUGUAUACACGUCUAAACCCACCCACCCACACACGUAUACAGUCGACGCUGCGCUCGAGUCUUGAAGCUUUCAGUGAGCGAUAAGGAGGAAGGAAAGCGCGAUGUGGCCUCGAUAGAAAGAGCGGCGGCGGCGUGUCCUGAGGUGAACUUUUGGCAGGCAACGACGGCCGUCCACGGCCUCCGCACACCUGACUAAGCCGGGGGUCACGUGCACAUUAUGUUCGGCUUCUUUAAAACCAAAAGCAAGGACAAAGUUGUCAACAAGGAAAAGAACAGUGACAGUGCUAAGGACAAAAAGAAAGACAAGACAAACAAAGAGGAGGCUAAGGUCAAUGUUCGUAAGGGCAAGGAAGACAAGGCCUCGAGAUCGUUGUUCCGAAAGAGUAAGUCCAUCGAGCGAGCGAAGGAAGGGAACGAGAACGCCAGGAAGAGUCAGAGCCUCGACUCACAAGGCUCAGGAGACUGGAGCGACCAUGAACAGUCAUCGCGGCAGGACAGCGGCCCCGUCGAGAGCGAAGAGGUUGCUUCGUCCCCUGGACCGGCCGGCAACAGCAGCAGCUCCGAGGACGCGGCUCGUCCUACCUCACCUUGCCGCCUUGAGGUCGCUGACAGUCGUUCCCGGGAUGACCUUAAAUCAUCAGACUCUACCGAGUCAUCUGGUUUUAAAGAUUCAUUAACAUCGUCUCAAGAAGGAGAGUUGCAUACAGAAUCUGAAGCUGUCGAGGAACGGAAGCAUGAUAAAAAGUAUCCGCUUGGAGUUCAGUCAACUGCAGCACUGUCGAAGGCUGGCCUGCAAGACCCGAGGAACGGAGAAGACUUGUCGUUAAGGAGAAACACUCAGCCUUAUACGGGUAGAGGCAGAUCCCGUGGUUCAGAAAGUCCCACCACGCUAAUGAUGAAGCCACCACUAAACCCACGAAUUGUGGCCCCGCGGGGACCUUUGGCAACCACAACCACCAUCACUUCCUUCCAUGCUUCGUCGACGGAACCAAGCGGCGAGAGGGACGAGAGUCGCCUCACGCCCUCCCCCGGCAUGGUGACGCCGCCCGCCUCGCCGGGCCUGUUCUCGCAAAUGAUUUCGACACACCAAAAUGUCAAUAACUUGCCUUCACGACCCACGUCUCCCGACGGCCGAACCUCAAUGCUUUCCACUCCCUCCAGCUCCACUUCCAGCCUCUCCAGCCUCACAGCUCGUCCGAUAUCUCCCUCUGGACGACGCACUCCCCCGGGGCCCCGAAUGGGCACUGGCGGCAAACUUACGUCCUCGCCAACUGCUGGACGGAAGCCCGUGAGAACAAACAUCAAAACAAAUCCGUCGAUGGGGUCACGCAGAGCGGGUUCUCACUCUCCCAUUAACUCUCCACCCUCUCCGGGGGGCGCAGUCACCUAUGCUGACGCUGACAACAUCAAGACUCCGCCAUCCUCGCCGCUCCCCUUGAGGCACGUGUUGCCGGAGCAGGCGCCGCCACCAGGUCCCUGCGAUGCCAACGUUUGGAUGCGGCCCACGACAUAUUACACGUCAAAGUUGGCGACGUUUUCUCCACCAAUCACUCGCAGGGAAAUCGAUCCACCGACGAGCCCUUCUUCAGGCAGAGCCACGGCAUCCUCACCACCAGGAAAGCUUGCACUAGGCUGCUCCUCACCGCCGCCACCCAGACUCAGUACAUCAGCCGAGGUGAAGCCUGAAGGAGGCAGCAGUCCUGGUUCCCAGCGCAGCGUCUCACCCACUGUCGGAAAGGCCCGCCACUCCAUAUCGUCGAUGCACUCCCUAGAGUCAAUCCCCGAAAACGACAGCGACGGGCAGUCACCCGUUGCCAGCGAAAAAACCCUCGAUGGGAGUUGUAAGCCGAGUCGUGCGCUGCCCAGCAACAGGCCCAACAGCACGCCCAGCAGCCCAAAGGAACAGCAGCAGACUAACGUCACCGCCACGCGACCAACGCGCCACUCCGCCCCGGAGGUCACGUGUGAGCGGCAGCAUAGUCACAGCACCACUCACAGACGGUCUUCCUCGCUGACACCAGUGAAUGAAGAAAGAAAGAUUCACUUCUCCGUGUCAAUCAGUGAAACGAAGACAACGCCUGGAGAUGAGAUGCAUUCCAAAGGCCUGAAUGCUGAAGCUGGAAAAGCAGCGGAAGAAAACUCUUCUUCAAAAAGAGACCGAUCGGAAAACCCUCACGAUAUAAGUAACAGAAAGAAGACUAUGGGAUCCCCUAAAGAACCUACCAAUCCGGACUCAAAGGAAGUAAUAAGAAAGGAAAAGGUCCCAUUAGUCCCUCCAGUGGCAGCUUAUGUAAAAGCGCCAGGAGGAAUGGCCGUGUCCAAACAGGCAGACGCUGGGUCACUGGCGGUCACUGUGGCCAAGAAGGAGGUCAUAUCUCAGGGAAACGAUACUAAAGAAAUUUACAAGAAAAACUCUGCUGCACUCAGUGAAAAGAACAAGCCUUCUGCAGUGAGAGAUGAUGGUAAAGAAAGCGAGGAAGCAACCCAUGUAGUGUUCCGAAUACCGCUGCGACGCAGUUCUCUCGCCAACGGAGAAGAGGCGGAAAAAAGGUCAUCUGUUGAAAUUUUGUCCCGUGAGGCUGGGCGGUCGAAGCGGCGGGAGAGAGAACAUUGCAAGGAGAGACCAAGAUCUGUAUCGACCUCUAGGGAGCUGAGGAGGGAGAGGACUUCCGACAGGCUGCCAAGAAGACGGAUGCCAUCUGAGGGCAACGAAAGCAGGAACGAGCUUGCGACCAACCCAGAGAAUGAGGGGAAGAAAGGAGUGACGGAGAGGGUCCGGUCUCGCUCCUCUUCCUCUCGCCGUACUAAGGGUCUUUCUCCGGACCAAACGGGCGUUGAGACUCCCCUUGUAGCCAACGGAAACGAGAGUUACGAUGGAGAGGACGAGGAAGUCGUCAUUCCAUGGAGAAGGGCUCCGAGAAGCAGGUCGCUGGUGUCAAGAGUGGAUGGCUCAAGUGACGCGGCCAGAUCUGAUGAGCCACCGACCAACACUCAAGGACAGGCAGCGAGUGGGGGAGGGGCGAUGGAAGGACCAAAUAAAAAGUCAGAAGGUUGUGAAGACAAUAGCCCCUCGCUCGUUACUGCCCCGCUGAGGCAGAGAUCCAAGUCUCGUGGACCUGAGCGAAGGAUGACCAGGUCCGUGACGCUGAGUGAAAUAAAGCGAGCUGGAGAGGGCAUGGCUGUGGCCUCGGAGCAGAAGCCUCAGCGACGGUCCAGAUCCUCCUCCAGGCUGCAAGAAGGAUCACGUUCUCACGGCGGCAUGCGUGAAAGCGUUAAGCCAGUAGCGGAGGGAGACGACGCCAAAGCUCACGCGUCACCAAGGAGGAAACUCUCCACUAAACGGAGUGUGAGUCGGACGCGAAAAGAGGGCGAGGAAGGUGCGAGGCGGCUGGCGGGAGACGCAGCAAACUCAACCAAAGGGACUGACUACAGAUCAAAAGGGACCAAGAGCAAGGACUCGCAAAACUCAGGUAACUUAGAAAAUGCGCAUAACAAAACAAACCGCGAAAACGAUACAGCAAACGAGAUAAAAGACACAGAAAAGAGCAUCACAGGCAAUAAAGGGUUGAGCGAACUUACCGUGGAAAGCAACAGUGUGGAGACUCAGACAGCGACGGCAGAGACCAAGUGUGUGGAGCUUCAGACCGAGGCGGCGGAGACCAACUCGAAGCUCUGCCAGACGGAGGAGGACCUUGAGCCUCGAGUAAGCCAACGAGACCUGAAAGAGCACACCAGGAAGGAACUCGGGGCGCAGGAGGAACGCUACCAGAAACAAAUCGACGAACUGACGCUGUCGCUGGCGGCGAAGCAGGAGGAGGUGACCCAGCUCGCACAGACGCUGGAGACGCUCAAGGGCGCCCAGGAAACUCUCAACAACUCGGAGGAGCUGCAGGAGAAACUGUCGCUCCUUCAGCAGGAUGUGAGGGACAGGAACGCCCAGCUCGACUGCGCUCGGACGGAGUUGGAGACCUCCAAGGAGGAGAUGGAGUUGACAAAGGCCAAGCUCAAGAAGUUGGAGGAGGACCUUGACUCCGCCCGCCAGAAGAACCUCUCCCUCCAGAACCAGAUCACCGCCUCGGCCAACUGCGACAAGACGGAGGAGCUUGAGACGAAGAUUAAAAGUUUAGAAGAGAAGUUGAAGGCCACAGAAGAGGAGCGGGACAAACUCACGAAGACCAUCGACGAAACGGAGGCCGAGCGAGAUGAAGAAAUCAAGAUCAUUCAAGACGCGCUGGACGAGGCGGCGCAAGAGAGGGAGGACCUAAUCGCCACGUUCGAGAAGGAGAUUCAGAACAUGACGACGAUGAACUCAACGCGAGAACAGCAGCUCAUGGAAGACUUUGAGUGGAAACUUCGUGAGAUGGAGAAGGACCACAAGAAGAAGAUGGAGGAGCGCGACAGGAAGGCAGAGGAGAGGAUUAGUGCGGUGAGAAACAUGGUGGAGUCGGAGCUGGCGGACUCCCUCAUUAAGGUGGCGGAGGACAGGCGCGUGGCGGACGAGCAGCUGAUGGAGGUCGGCCAUCUAAAGAGCUACGAAGCCGAGGCCAUCCAGCUGCGCGGCGUCACCCACGAGCUGCAGAAGGCGCUGAGGGCGUCGGCGAGAGAAAUGGAACACCUCAAAGUACGCGAGAAAAUACUUGAGGAGGAAAUACGAGGCCUCAAGAAAGCCCCUCCGCCCUGCCGCCAGAGCACCCUUCAGCGGGCCAAGCGUCAGGCCGAGGAGACGGAGGCUGAGUUCCGACAGAAGCAGGAGAAGAUGAAGAACGAGCUGAACGCGGAGUGGGAGGACAAACUGAGGUCGGAAUGUUCGCGGCUCAAGGCGGAACUGGACGAGCUGCAUGGCGAGGAGAAACACCUGGCCGUGGAGUCUAUGAAGGUACAGAAGGAACAGGAGGUCAGGAAGCUCAGGCAGUCCUGGGAACAACGCCAAGAGGAGAUGACCAAAGAGAUCUCAACUCUCAAGGACAGUCUGACGGAGAAGGACGCGUACUACCACAAGGAGAUGGAGAACAUGAGGACCAACGCGGACAGGGACGUGUGGGAGCUGCGACGCAAACUGCAGCGCCUCGACGAGAAGAACUGGUCGCAACAGGAGCUGCUGCAGGAAAAGCACCAUGAGGAGCUCGAGCGUAUACGGGCGGAGUACAAGGAGCGCUCGUCAGACCUCGAGGCUCGGCUGGCCGUGGCGCUGCAGAACUCAGACGAGGAGGGGCGCCAUCAGGCCGAGAAGCAGCACAACGAGGAGAUGGAGCACCUGUGUGAGCAGCACAGACUCAGCAUGGAACGGUUGCGCGAGGAACUUGAGGCAGAGAAAUUCCAGGCGGUGGAGGAGGCGCGGGUCAUCGUGACAAAACAUCAUGAGUACCUGAACGCGGGGCUCCAGGAACAGCUGACAGAGGCCAUCACGAGCAGUACACAGUGCAAGGAGGAGCUGGAGGCCGUGAAAUCCGCUCUGGCGCUACGAGAGGAGGUCAUCAAAUCCCUAAACGAGGAACUGGCGAGGCUGAAGGAAUCCGAAGGAGGAGUCCCCGCCGCAUCCUACAUGGACUCCCAGAGCUCCAUCGCGUCCUCCAGCGAGUCCACGUGCUCCCAGGGCUCCAACAACUCCCAGGACAGACUCAGCCUCUCGGAGUCCGUCGGAGCCUCCAUAGACGGGCAAGAUGAGGCGCAUAAGUCCGGCGGCAGCGGCCUCCUGGGCAAGAUGUUUGGAGGCAACUGGUUCAGCAGCAACAAGACCAAGGAAAACAGCAGGCGGGGGAGUGCCCCUGGCAAGCAGUCCUCGUGAACCCCCGCUCAAGGCACCGUGGGCUCUGUGCCUCACCCCGCGGGGCCCCAGACCACAUAACUCACUUCUCGGCUCAGCUGCUGAGGGUGGCGUUACGCUCAUCAAGGCGACUCGCUCCUCCUUGUCCUGACUUGCCCCGCCCCGCCCAAGCCGAACCGCCUCGUCUCGCCCCAUUCCAGCGGCAGAGGCUGUGGCAGGAGGCCAGGGGAAGGGGCAAGGGAGGGUGCACUUCACCACGACUCAUCCACCGACGUCACGAAGAUGUCUUCAUCAGCAUUACGUAGAUUAAUUACCAUUUCACACUUAUAGCUAUAAAUGAAUAUAUUUUACUGCUAUAUUACCCUUGUUCCCUUCAGCGUUUGGAGGAAUUCUUAUAAAGUUUAAGUUAUUUCUCAUAGAGAGUAUAAGUUGUUCUGUAGAUUCCUAGACCACAGGCGGCCUCAGUGUGUAGAGUGAUCCAGCUUAGGUCAGUCCGGCUCAGUGGCUCCUCGAGUUCUCGCCUUCACUACAGGGCCCCGACGAGGAUAGAAAGUUCAAGGAAUUCUCCAAAAAGCACUGCCAGUAACCCAUUUAAGAAAAGGCACCAUUAAUACAUUGUCAUCAGAAAAAAAAAGUUCCUGAGGCCCAUUUACAGAGUACUCAGUAUUUUGAAAAAUACUUCAGUCAUGUCCAAGGAAGGCUGUCUUUGUGUACUGGCGAGGAGGUGAUGCGACAAUACUCCUCCAGCUUUGUGUAGAGAAGCGACGGGAGGGAGGGAGGAGAGGGUUGCGGAGCUGCCUCGCCCCAGUACGGCGCGUUUACCUUGAGCAACGUGCCGAGACGCAAUGCACCGCGGAGUCUAGCACACGCCCUUGUAAGCCAAUCAGCUCGUCACAGAGAAGUGAAGUUUCUCCGUUCCAGAAAGAACUGAUGGGAAACGGCGACUUAUUCUUCCUUUCUUUUGAACGUCUACAAGAGAUUCUUUGAGACAAAGGGAGUCAAACCAAGCAAGCACUGAGUCGAUAAAGCCGCACCAGCACGACGCUGCAGCUGUUGGUGAGGGUCGUUGUGUCUAGCCGGUGUGGGGAGAGUCUCCGCCGCCCGCCAGUGUCACCUCCGCGUUAUCAGCGACGCCUUCAACGGCGCCUUUGAGACCUAUUGGUCUCCUCAAUUUCACUCCGAGAACCCCAGUAGUGGCAGCCUUCGUUUUUCACAUUGUUAUUAUGUGUUUGCUUUUGGUGGUUCUUCUAAAAGUGUGUUUUGAAUAAACUAAACAGAAGGGGAAGAAUUAAAUUAGCAGACGCGAACACAGGCUAUAGCAGAAAAAGAGCUCAGCCGGGCUAACAGUGGGGGCAGAACAAGAGGAGGCAGCACUGCAUAGGUGUGUAUUAGUGGCGAAGAAAGGGAGCGGACGUACAUAUGUUUCCCUGUUUUUAUACACUACUAACUGUAUAGCUGCAUAAUUAUAUAGUAAUCAUUUUUUACUUAGUAAUUUAAAAAGAUGAAAGUUAUAUUAUACGUUUUCUUUAUUAUUACUGCUAUACCUUUUGUCAAAUUAACAAUGGUUGAGUUCCUUGUCAAACUUUUCGGUCUUUUAUUCGCUUGUAGUAAAAUGCGAGGGAUUCCGAGAGCUGUAGAGAAACAAUGUAUUAAUAAACAACUUCUAGGAUGUUCUGACAAGACACAGAGAAUGGCUCCCACGCCGUCUAGUCAGGUGACGCAGAUAGGCAUUACUUGGGACGUACCGCGGACAUGUUGUCAAGCAUUUCCUAGGAUGAAGAGAGGUACUGUAUAUGAUCAGUCUAAGAUAUAGAUAGAGCCUUUGCCUGAGAACCUUAACCAAUUGUAUGAGUGGAUGUUCUUCAAUGUGCAGCGGGCAUUCAGACUGCUGCUAAGAAUAUAUAUUCCGUAUGCUCACUUCAGUUUGUAUUCUGAAGGCCGCUAAGAGGAGGUAUUCCCAAAAAAUCGAGGCAGUUCCAGAAAUAUGUGAUUUUUUCGUA
Eriocheir sinensis (Chinese mitten crab) is the source of this 7920-nucleotide RNA transcript. It is a transcript of the gene named trichohyalin-like, with no coding region annotated. The record is from RefSeq and is a predicted model, not a curated record. The transcript is spliced from 16 exons. NCBI's taxonomy places the organism in Eukaryota, Metazoa, Arthropoda, Malacostraca, Decapoda, Varunidae.